RNAcentral lists this small nuclear RNA (162 nucleotides) under Meriones unguiculatus (Mongolian gerbil). Its description in RNAcentral is "U1 spliceosomal RNA (ENSMUGG00000015025.1)". The record is from RNAcentral. Lineage: Eukaryota; Metazoa; Chordata; Mammalia; Rodentia; Muridae.
ACACUCAGCUGGUGGUGGGAUGCCUGGAUCAGGAAGGCGGCUCUGCCAGGGCCAAGCUUAUAGCUACACUCCGGGUGUGCUGAGCGCCGAAACUUCCCCCAAUACAGGAAACUCCACUGCAUAAUUUGCAGCGCUGGAGACUUGUGUUCGUGCUUGCCUCUC